GUGCUUUGGCAGCACAUAUGCUAAAUAGGAACAACACAGAGAAACUUAGCAUGGCCCUGUGCAAGGAUGACAUGCAAAUUCGUGAAGUGUUCCAUAUUCAG
RNAcentral lists this small nuclear RNA (101 nucleotides) under Carlito syrichta (Philippine tarsier). Lineage: Eukaryota; Metazoa; Chordata; Mammalia; Primates; Tarsiidae. The record is from RNAcentral.